This is a long non-coding RNA of Marmota monax (woodchuck), 4640 nucleotides long. RefSeq lists it as uncharacterized. The record is from RefSeq and is a predicted model, not a curated record. The transcript has 2 exons. NCBI's taxonomy places the organism in Eukaryota, Metazoa, Chordata, Mammalia, Rodentia, Sciuridae.
UUCUAUUCUGAUUAACAGGUAAGGGCUUAUCCAGGCCAAGAGUUCAAAUAUUAAACUUUGCCCAAGUUCCUCAUUGCAUAACACGGAAAGCAAAAACAAAUAGAAAUUGCGAAAGAUGAUUUUCCUGGCUCCUUUAUUAAAAGCCGCAUCUUUCUUUUUAAAGAAAAUACUCGACAAUCCACCUUUUAACUGCCCUCUGUCUUUCUGAAGCUUUGUUGACUGUGCACCAUUUGGGAGUUAUUGCUGGUACUAGAAUCCCAGAAGGAAACUUUUCUGGAGGUGCUUGUAAGUGGGAAAUCAGCCACAGCCUGACUAUCCUCAGUUGCUCUGGAGCUGUGGGGCUUUCACUAGCGAAUCAUCUCAGGGACUUAAGGCACAAAGAGCCAAGUCAACCAUGGGGCUGAGAGAAUGAAACUGAAGACUCAAUUUCAUCAGUUUAGAUCAUGCCAAAGGAAGAGCAGCAUGAACCAACUUCUAGACACCAGUCAGCCUCGUAACCCUGGAAUGCGGACUACUUGAGCUGUGUGGCCCGAGGUGAGGAUUCUGAACCAAACUUGAAUUUUAGACCAGAACUAUUCCCUCGGUGCAGUGAGGUAUUCUCUUAUGAAAUUUCUUCUCCAACUUCCUUUGUGCCUGAAAAGAAUCAGUUCAUGCUGAACACCAGCUGUGCCUGUUCAAGCCAAGCCUGUCUUUGUACAGCUCUCCCAGGACCCACCGGGGAACCCGCCUUGGCCAGAGGUGUACAAGAGGAACCUUUGCUUCUGAGCAGGGGUCCGGGCUCUUUUUCACUUUAUCAUAUGAGUCUCUUCAUCUGCAUCGUAAAACUCUUCCUCUUCCUCACUCUCACUCCCUAAAGGGCUCUCCUUGUCUGCAGGCUGAAACAGGAAAGGGGGAGAGGGCAGAGAAAUGAUGUCAUGACAUUCCGAAAGUGAAAAAUUAUCACCUAGCUAUCCAAAUAACAAAUGUGUUUUGAUGACAUCUAUUCCCCUAAGUAGUCCCCGAAGUGUUCUAAGAAAGCUAAUGAAUCAUCAGAUCUCUUUAUUUUUCUGAAAAUCAGCUGCUAUAUCAGUUCCCACCUUUGUUUUCCAUUCUACUCAAUCUAACUGGAACAUUAUUAUUAUUAUUAUUAUUAUUAUUAUUAUUAUUAUUAACAACAACCAUCAUCCCAGCAGAAGACACGAACAGUUAAGAUAAAGAUUCUCAGCCCUACCUGCGGAGGAUCCAAGGUCUGUAAUGACAGUGCUUCCUCCCCCAGCCGACGAUAGGAGUACAUCUGAAGGUCAGAAAACGUCUCCAGCAACGGGCUAUUAAGAGUUUCUGGCAGUAACAAACUCAAGAGGCCUGAGGCCAGGCCCGUGGCUCCAAAUACAAUGAAGGGGAGAGACCACUGCACAUAUUUCUGCAUGGGCAGAGAGUGGGACCAGAACAAAGGAAACUCAGUGUCAGUUUCCUCUGCGGAUGACAUCAAGCAGUCUUGUUACUGAAAACUGUCAUGUUUAUUAUCCAGUCUGGACCUCCCACUAGAUUACACCAUAAUCCACUUUUUCUUUGCUCAUAGAGAAUUAUUCCGGGAAAUCACUGAGUGAUUCCUCUGGCGUAAAAGGCUGGCCAUAUAAGCAAUUGCUCCAGAGAUUCAAAAGAUAUUCUUAGAAAAAGUUCAUGUUUUCUUUCAAUACAAAGAAACACACAAAAAGAGAUGGCAAGAUGCUGCUUCGCGCCACUGGAGCUGAUUAUUAACAUUCGAGAGUUCCUCUUAUACAGAUGUGCUAAGGUUUAUGACCUUCUGGUUUGACUUCCAAAUUCUGUGGGCACUAAUGAGAAUUCUCUCUCAGACCAUUUUUUUUUUCCUAAUUUUUCAAAAGGGAAGAGGUGAUGGAGAGGAUGAAAGAAGCAGGAGAGGGGAGGGGGAAAGAGAGUUAGGAAAGAGGAGAGGGAGAAGAGGGAGGAGGGGGAUCUCUCAUCACAAGUUACCUACUGCACACAAACCCAGGGCCUGCACUGUGGGAUCCCAGCAAGGGGAACGCAGGACUUUCCCUCCUCACGGGAAGGGGAAGACAUGAUGCUGGGUGGGGAUUACAAUGUUCAGGAACAGCCACCCAAAGUCAGGUAAUUUUAACAAUAUACACCUCACGUCCCACAGGUAUUUUGCCGAAUAUAACUAUGGAAUUAACAUGAUUCCUUCGUAAGAAGAGUUAUGCGACCUAAAAUUGAGCAUGGGACAUGGAAAGAUAUAUUCAGGGAAAGGAAGUACAUUGCAACUCUAAAAAGAAAAAAGACAAGGGUCACAUUUCAGUCACCCCAUACUAGGAAGUGGGGGUUAAGCUGCCUGAGUGAUGAACAGUAGUCCGCAGAGAAGGUCUAUGAGCCCUAUAUCAAACCUUGGUUACCUUUCAAUAGGCUUGGUGGAAAGUCACAGAUCAGACCAAGGACAGACCUGCAUGGGGCCCUGGGGCUCCUACCCAGAACCUGAGCAUUGUAAGACUGGAAGGAUUUUAUGGCUGACAUUCAGUCUCUCCCCUUUUUUUGCACUAUGAAAUCUAGAAAAUGCCCCCAAAAUCGUGUGUGUGUAUAUGUGUGUGUGUGUGUGUAUUAACAAAUAUAUUAUAUUAUAUAUGAAGACUGCUAGGCAUAUUUCUCUAGUUUUCUUUUCCAAGUGGUGUGAGAGGAAAACAUUUAAUCUGUUUCUGUAGCAUUUCUCAUCUUUAAUACAGGGGUGACGAUGACACCUACCUCAUACAGCUAUCGUCAGGGUUACAUGUGAUGACAUGCAUCAAGGGCUUAGCACAGAGCCCUGAGCAAAGCAGGCACUUAAUGAAGACUUACUAAUUGAUUAACUUAUGAAUGGACACAGGAAGGAGACGACCUAGCAUCAGCUGACCCUCCAAUGAAAUCAGAGGAACAAAAGCUCAGAUCCUUCAUGGGUAAAAGCAAACCAAUCCAUUCGGCCUAGACUGAGUACUGGGUUCUUAAUCUAAAAGGCAUAUGUUCAUUUUUGUGUCUGUUGAUCUUAACCGGCAUCUGUGCAUUACCUCUCUCUCUAUGCAAAAGCACAAGCAUUUCCAAAGCAGAGAAUCAAGAAAAAUUAGGAGGUACAAACCAACCAGUGAGGGGACGAAGGGAGCAAUAAUCCCACCAACUCGGGAGAACAUGGAGCACGUUCCAAGCCCAACAUUCCUGAAACCAUAAGAAAAAGAAAAAGAAAAAGAAAAAUUAUAUCAGUAGGUUGGUUCCAGCGGGACAAUUUAAAGACAGUAUAUGCACAUGUGCAGGCACGUUUGCAUUUGUGUGUGGUGUGUGUAUAGGGGCUGGAGGAGUAAAAUGGGCCCAGAACAGUAUAUACCCAAGUGGAAGCACAGUAUCCUAUAGAGCGGUGCUGCCCAUUACAACUUUCUGUGAUGCAGGAAAUGUUCUGUAAUUACGAUGUCCAAUAUAGAAGACACUGAGCACAUGAGACUACUGAGUACUUGAAAUGUGGCUGGUGAGGACAAGGAAAUGAAUUUCCAGUUUAUGUAAUUUUAAUUAAUUUAAAAAAGAUGGUGGAAUGAGAUGGACAUCAUUACCGCAGGUACACGUAUGACUGCACAUACGGUGCAACACUACAUCGUGCACAACCAGAGAAAUGAAAAGUUGUGCUGCAAUUGUGUGCAAUGAAUCCAAAUGCAUUCUGCUGUCAUAUAGACCUAAUUAUAAUUAAUUAAUUAAAAAAUAAAUAAUCACAUGAGGAUAAUAACUACUAUAUUAGUGCAUCUAUAGAGGAUGACGUAGAAAUGAACAUCUGAACAUCUGUUAUCUAAUGCUUUUAUGGCUGUCUUUCAGUCUCUCCCCUUUUUCUGAACUAUGAAAUCUAGAAAAUGCUCCCCCAAAUUGUAUAUAUAUGUGUGUGUGUCUUGAGUCUCCUAUUAGUUAAUAUAGCCAUAGAGAACCAGGGUUUCAUAUUCCUAAAAGUCUGACCAUUUAUUUAAACUCAACUAUUAAAAUUCAGAAUAUAAAUAGUAAUUGAUUGCGUGUAUACUGUCAGGUAACCCAGAAUAUUACUUUUGUUGGGAGGGGGCAGAAAAGAGGAUGGUAGCGAGGGAGAAGGGCAGAAGUUCUAGAUAGGGUGGCCGGCCAUACACCACUCUGUUAUCUCAGCCUCAUUGUUAAUGAUGUCCACAUUUGCUUUCAAGUUGCCCUAGUUUGGAUAACAUUCUAGUUUCAAGGCCAAUAGCCAGACAAACUAGGUUGUAGGAAUAGUCAGGAAAUGAGCAGCCAAUCUCGGAAAUCUGACUGUUACUGGGAAAAGGGAUUUUAAACUAAAAGGAAGAAAGAACCCUUAGUCUUAUUGCAUGGCUAAGGGAAUGAGAAGGAUCCACUUAGAAUGAUCCUCAAAAAGACUGGGAAAGGGCAGAUUGAGGAAAACCUGACCCAGCCCACUGAGGUCAUUCUGAAAGGUAUAAGCUGCAUCCCAGGCCACCCUUUAAAUUUGAAUUAGUUUCUUGUUUUCAGACUUAUUUUAUGAGGGGAAAUUUAGGACAGAAUACGUUCUUUUUGACAUCUUCCCUUCCUACUCAUUUAAAACCACCUUUAACGAUGAAUGUUGAAAAAAAUCUAACAUUCACUUACUACUAUCUGAGAUGAUCAUUAAAAUGUUUUAAAAUAUA